This 501-nucleotide ribosomal RNA is filed under the name uncultured bacterium. Its description in RNAcentral is "partial 16S ribosomal RNA". It matches the Rfam family "Bacterial small subunit ribosomal RNA", at positions 30 to 523 of the family's 1533-position model. The record is from RNAcentral.
AUUGAACGCUGGCGGCAUGCCUUGCACAUGCAAGUCGAACGGCAGCACGGGUGCUUGCACCUGGUGGCGAGUGGCGAACGGGUGAGUAAUACAUCGGAACGUACCUUAUCGUGGAGGAUAACGCAGCGAAAGCUGUGCUAAUACCGCAUACGCCCUGAGGGGGAAAGCGGGGGAUCGCAAGUCCUUGCGCGAUUAAACCGGCGGAUGCAUGAUUCGCUUGUUGGCGGGGUAAAAGCCCACCAAGGCGACGAUCAGUGGCUGGUCUGAGAGGACGAUCAGCCACACUGGGACUGAGACACGGCCCAGACUCCUACGGGAGGCAGCAGUGGGGAAUUUUGGACAAUGGGGGCAACCCUGAUCCAGCAAUGCCGCGUGAGUGAAGAAGGCCUUCGGGUUGUAAAGCUCUUUUGUCAGGGAAGAAACACCGGCUCUAACACAGUCCGGGAAUGACGGUACCUGAAGAAUAAGCACCGGCUAACUACGUGCCAGCAGCCGCCGUAA